UUCUGCCACCUGGGUUCAAGCAAUUCUCAUGCCUCAGCCUCCGGAGUAGCUAGGAUUACAGGCGCAAGCCACCACACCUAGUUAAUUUUUGUAUUUUUAGUAGAGAUGAGGUUUUGCUAUGUUGGCCAGGCUGGUUUGGAACUCCUGACAUCAAGUGAUCCACCCACUUUAGCCUCCCAAAGUGCUGGCAUUACAGGUGUGAGCCACUGCACACAGCUGGAAUCUAUCUUUUUAAAUGUGAUUUUCUGCAGUGGUUUAGUAGCCUGGAGCAUCUCUGCAUGAUGGAGGGUGGCUGCAGGCCCAGUGCUCAGGAUCCUCCCAGAAGAUGUCCAUGAGAUGGGCCACAGGAGCAGCCACCACUGUUACCAUCCAGAAGACAGAAAAUCAAGAAGUCAAUGCCCCAUGUCCAUCAAAGACACAGAUACGCACCCUCUCAAGCCCAGCAAUGCAUAAAUUGUGCUCAUGCAACCUCUGACACAUUUCCAAAGGCUGAAUGUUCUAUCUCACAAGGCA
Molecule: long non-coding RNA, 513 nt
Filed under: Homo sapiens (human)
Lineage: Eukaryota; Metazoa; Chordata; Mammalia; Primates; Hominidae
Description: HSALNT0037544
Source: RNAcentral